UGUUGCACUAGAGUACGAAACAUGCGCAGUGACCGAUUGUUCUGUUCUACUUUAUUGUAAUAAAUAGUUAUAAUUAAGUUGCCUACGUCCUCCUUUUCCUCCGGCACUACAGUUUUAUGGUUGACCGUGCUCGUUGACCAUGCUCGUGAGAUGCAUCUAUUGUAAAUACCAUCUGAUUUCUUCGGAUAAGGUGGCGAGAAGGCUACCCCAAAGAAAGCCUAGAAGAGGAACAACAGUGUGUUGUCAGAAGAGAGAGAAGUCCGGCCAGGUGAGUCUGCUCACCUGAAGAGACAGACUCUGAGGAGGAGCAGCUCUGGACCUCCGGAUUGACCGCACGCUGACCAUCUACGGCAUCAGCCAGGACAACGACGCCAAGGCGUUGUCGCCCGGCGCCAUCCAGGUGUCCUGGAAGGAGCCGGAGCACAACACACAGGACAUCAUCGGCUACGUGCUGCACAUCCGGCGGUCCUCAGGCAGCACACCGCGCCCCUCUCCCCAGCCCAGGGCACACAUGCCCGGGCUGGCCUGGCGCCCAGAGGGCCCCCACUCUCCACGGCCUCCAGUACAAGACCGAGGCACAGACACCUCCCCAGAACCGAGAACAGCGCCGGCUCCACGCAGGCCAGCGCCCGCCUCACCGUGCUGUGGGCCGACGGGCUCCCCGGGGCCCCCACACAGGUGCGGGCCCAGGCGUUGUCGCCCGGCGCCAUCCAGGUGUCCUGGAAGGAGCCGGAGCAGAACACACAGGACAUCAUCAGCUACGUGCUGCACAUCCGGCUGUCCUCAGGUGUUGUCGUCCCUCCUCUAAGCUUGGGGGGAGAUGGGCCUCCCCGGGUCCCCAAGCUUGACGGACAUCCGUUUAGCCGUGGCCACAUACAACUUUGACUCAGAGAUAGGCUUUCCCAAAGAAAGCCAAGAAGAAGAACAACAGUGUGUUGUCAGAGGAGAGAGAAGUCCGGCCAGGUGAGUCUGCUCACCUGAAGAGACAGACUCUGAGGAGGAGCAGCUCUGGACCUCCGGAUUGACCGCACGCUGACCAUCUACGGCAUCAGCCAGGACAACGACGCCAAGGCGUUGUCGCCCGGCGCCAUCCAGGUGUCCUGGAAGGAGCCGGAGCACAACACACAGGACAUCAUCGGCUACGUGCUGCACAUCCGGCGGUCCUCAGAACCGAGAACAGCGCCGGCUCCACGCAGGCCAGCGCCCGCCUCACCGUGCUGUGGGCCGACGGGCUCCCCGGGGCCCCCACACAGGUGCGGGCCCAGGCGUUGUCGCCCGGCGCCAUCCAGGUGUCCUGGAAGGAGCCGGAGCAGAACACACAGGACAUCAUCAGCUACGUGCUGCACAUCCGGCUGUCCUCAGGUGUUGUCGUCCCUCCUCUAAGCUUGGGGGGAGAUGGGCCUCCCCGGGUCCCCAAGCUUGACGGACAUCCGUUUAGCCGUGGCCACAUACAACUUUGACUCAGAGAUUGGCAGGAGGGACCA
Molecule: RNA transcript, 1484 nt
Organism: Gadus morhua (Atlantic cod)
Lineage: Eukaryota; Metazoa; Chordata; Actinopteri; Gadiformes; Gadidae
Gene name: immunoglobulin superfamily DCC subclass member 3
Exons: 11
Source: RefSeq, a predicted model, not a curated record